UACAGAGGUGGCAAGCGUUGUUCGGAAUUACUGGGCGUAAAGGGCGCGUAGGCGGCUCGACAAGUCCCGCGUGAAAGCCCCCGGCUCAACUGGGGAACUGCGCGGGAAACUGUCGGACUUGAGUUCGGGAGAGGGAAGCGGAAUUCCGGGUGUAGCGGUGAAAUGCGUAGAUAUCCGGAGGAACACCGGUGGCGAAGGCGACUUACUGGACACAUAUUGACGCUGAGGUGCGAAAGCGUGGGGAGCAAACAGG
This 253-nucleotide ribosomal RNA is filed under the name uncultured bacterium. Its description in RNAcentral is "partial 16S ribosomal RNA". It matches the Rfam family "Bacterial small subunit ribosomal RNA", at positions 524 to 776 of the family's 1533-position model. The record is from RNAcentral.